Molecule: ribosomal RNA, 451 nt
Filed under: uncultured Phyllobacteriaceae bacterium
Lineage: Bacteria; Pseudomonadati; Pseudomonadota; Alphaproteobacteria; Hyphomicrobiales; Phyllobacteriaceae
Description: partial 16S ribosomal RNA
Source: RNAcentral
UACGAAGUUAGCCGGGGCUUCUUCUCCGGUUACCGUCAUUAUCUUCACCGGUGAAAGAGCUUUACAACCCUAGGGCCUUCAUCACUCGCGCGGCAUGGCUGGAUCAGGCUUUCGCCCAUUGUCCAAUAUUCCCCACUGCUGCCUCCCGUAGGAGUCUGGGCCGUGUCUCAGUCCCAGUGUGGCUGAUCAUCCUCUCAGACCAGCUAUGGAUCGUCGCCUUGGUAGGCCAUUACCCCACCAACUAGCUAAUCCAACGCGGGCUCAUCCAUCACCGAUAAAUCUUUCUCCCGAAGGACGUAUACGGUAUUAGCUCCAGUUUCCCGGAGUUGUUCCGUAGUGAUGGGUAGAUUCCCACGCGUUACUCACCCGUCUGCCGCUCCCCUUGCGGGGCGCUCGACUUGCAUGUGUUAAGCCUGCCGCCAGCGUUCGUUCUGAGCCAGGAUCAAACUCU